GGGAAUGUGUGGUGCGAAUUUCGUUGCUGCAUACCUGGGCACCGGUUGCUCUGCUGACCCGCUUAUUUUUCUGUUGGCGUUUGUCACGACCGCUGUUGCUGCCAGUCUACACCACCUAAACCGUUACGUGAUUAGUUUUUUACUUUUUGCGUUUCGGGGGCAGGUUUCCCGGUCCGUUUGUAAAAACGGCUGGAUGUUAAAGCCGGGUGGUGUGGUGCUUGUAAACUGUGCAGUACAGUGGUACAGCGGCAGGUUGUGUUGCGCGCUGGGUGCGCUAAAGUCGUUUCUGCGUUGUUGUGGCAUGACCGAUUGUUGCUGUCUCUGAUA
RNAcentral lists this ribosomal RNA (327 nucleotides) under Paradiplozoon sp. PDL-JMU. Its description in RNAcentral is "partial large subunit ribosomal RNA". Lineage: Eukaryota; Metazoa; Platyhelminthes; Monogenea; Mazocraeidea; Diplozoidae. The record is from RNAcentral.